UUUCCGUAGGUGAACCUGCGGAAGGAUCAUUAAAAAAUGUGGUACCAAUUAUUGGUACUAAUUAAUCAUCCUACCCUUUGUGAAUUUGUUUGUAUGAAUUUUUUUAAAUGGGUCUUUCCCUAAGUUGGAUUGUUAGUAAAAUACAAAAAGACUUAGGGGAAUGACUUUUUUAAAAGACUUUUUUUUAAUUAAAACUUUUUGUAUUCAUUUGUCUAAAAUUUAUUUUUAUAAUAUAAAAACAACUUUUGACAAUGGAUCUCUUGGUUCUCGCAACGAUGAAGAACGCAGCAAAAUGCGAUAAGUAGUGUGAAUUGCAGAAUACGUGAAUCAUCGAAUCUUCGAACGCAUAUUGCACUUUUUUAGUUUACUAAAAAAGUAUGUCUGUUUGAGUAUCAGUAAAAUAUUCUCACAAACAUGUAUUUUUGUGGUUAUGAGUGUUUUACAACGAUAAACAAGUUGUUUCACUUUAAAUUCUUUUUAAUUGAAUUUUACCAAUUCAUAAAUUAAAAUUGGAUAAAAUUUUCCUUUAACGAGGAAUAACCUAAACAAUUUUAAAUUUUAUGGAUUAAUACAUUCAACAAAGGAAUCUAUACAACAAAUAACUUGAUCUCAAAUCAGAUAAGAGUACCCGCUGAACUUAAGCAUAUCAAUAAGCGGAGGAAAAGAAACUAACAAGGAUUCCCUUAGUAACGGCGAGUGAAGCGGGAAGAGCUCAAAUUUGAAAUCUUCAAGGUUUGACCUUGACGAAUUGUAGUUUAUAGAAGUGUUUUCUGUUGGAGUUUUGGUAAAAGUUCUUUGGAAUAGGACAUCAUAGAGGGUGAGAAUCCGUAUUUGACCAUGACUUUCCAGCUGUGUGAUACACUUUCAAAGAGUCGGAUUGUUUGGGAAUGCAGUCCAAAAUGGGUGGUAAAUUUCAUCUAAAGCUAAAUAUUGGCGAGAGACCGAUAGCGAACAAGUACCGUGAGGGAAAGAUGAAAAGAACUUUGAAAAGAGAGUUAAACAGUACGUGAAAUUGUCAAAAGGGAAGCGUUUGACACCAGUGUUGUUUUCUCGAAAAUCAAUUUAAUGAGUUCUUGUUUUUAAGUUAUUGUGACUUUAUCAGCGCAUUUCUUAUUUUACUUGACUCAUUGAAUGCACUUUUCGUUUAACAAGUCAACAUCAAUUUCUUUGGUGGUAAAAAGUUUAAAGGAAGGUGGCUUGGACUUCGAUUCAAGUGUUUAUAGCCUUUUUUCUAUGCCAUCGGAGAGAUUGAGGUCUGCAGCGUAGAUCCUUCGGGUUAGAUACCUUUGUGCUAAGUUAUAGUUUUUUAUAGACAACUUGUUGACUAUAAUUAACCCUGUAAUUUACUCGCUUAGGCUAUUUUACCUACGCUUAGGAUGUUGAG
Molecule: unclassified non-coding RNA, 1384 nt
Filed under: uncultured Neocallimastigales
Lineage: Eukaryota; Fungi; Neocallimastigomycota; Neocallimastigomycetes; Neocallimastigales
Description: partial contains small subunit ribosomal RNA, internal transcribed spacer 1, 5.8S ribosomal RNA, internal transcribed spacer 2, and large subunit ribosomal RNA
Rfam family: Eukaryotic large subunit ribosomal RNA (bases 605-1384)
Source: RNAcentral